CAGCGAAACCGCGAGGUCAAGCAAAUCCCAUAAAGUUGUUCUCAGUUCGGAUUGUAGUCUGCAACUCGACUAUAUGAAGCUGGAAUCGCUAGUAAUCGUAGAUCAGCAUGCUACGGUGAAUACGUUCCCGGGUCUUGUACACACCGCCCGUCACACCACGAGAGUUUGUAACACCCGAAGCCGGUGGAGUAACCAUUUGGAGCUAGCCGUCGAAGGUGGGACAAAUGAUUGGGGUGAAGUCGUAACAAGGUAGCCGUAUCGGAAGGUGCGGCUGGAUCACCUCCUUUCUAAGGA
RNAcentral lists this ribosomal RNA (294 nucleotides) under Staphylococcus epidermidis NIHLM018. RNAcentral's name for it is "partial 16S ribosomal RNA". It matches the Rfam family "Bacterial small subunit ribosomal RNA", at positions 1247 to 1533 of the family's 1533-position model. The record is from RNAcentral. Lineage: Bacteria; Bacillati; Bacillota; Bacilli; Caryophanales; Staphylococcaceae.